RNA transcript from Pan troglodytes (chimpanzee), 5514 nucleotides. It is a transcript of the gene named Rho GTPase activating protein 17, with no coding region annotated. The transcript has 21 exons. Lineage: Eukaryota; Metazoa; Chordata; Mammalia; Primates; Hominidae. The record is from RefSeq and is a predicted model, not a curated record.
UGACGAGGCGAGGGCGGGGCCGCCGGCCCGGGGAGCCACCGCCGCCGCCGCCGCCGCUUGGGCCGGGAAGCGAUGUAGUAGCUGCCAGGCUGUCCCCCGCCCUGCCCGGCCCGAGCCCCGCGGGCCGCCGCCGCCACCGCCGCCAUGAAGAAGCAGUUCAACCGCAUGAAGCAGCUGGCUAACCAGACCGUGGGCAGAGCUGAGAAAACAGAAGUCCUUAGUGAAGAUCUAUUACAGAUUGAGAGACGCCUGGACACGGUGCGGUCAAUAUGCCACCAUUCCCAUAAGCGCUUGGUGGCAUGUUUCCAGGGCCAGCAUGGCACCGAUGCCGAGAGGAGACACAAAAAACUGCCUCUGACAGCUCUUGCUCAAAAUAUGCAAGAAGCAUCGACUCAGCUGGAAGACUCUCUCCUGGGGAAGAUGCUGGAGACGUGUGGAGAUGCUGAGAAUCAGCUGGCUCUCGAGCUCUCCCAGCACGAAGUCUUUGUUGAGAAGGAGAUCGUGGACCCUCUGUACGGCAUAGCCGAGGUGGAGAUUCCCAACAUCCAGAAACAGAGGAAGCAGCUUGCAAGACUGGUGUUAGACUGGGAUUCAGUCAGAGCCAGGUGGAACCAAGCUCACAAAUCCUCAGGAACCAACUUUCAGGGGCUUCCAUCAAAAAUAGAUACUCUAAAGGAAGAGAUGGAUGAAGCUGGAAAUAAAGUAGAACAGUGCAAGGAUCAACUUGCAGCAGACAUGUACAACUUUAUGGCCAAAGAAGGGGAGUAUGGCAAAUUCUUUGUUACGUUAUUAGAAGCCCAAGCAGAUUACCAUAGAAAAGCAUUAGCAGUCUUAGAAAAGACCCUCCCCGAAAUGCGAGCCCAUCAAGAUAAGUGGGCGGAAAAACCAGCCUUUGGGACUCCCCUAGAAGAACACCUGAAGAGGAGCGGGCGCGAGAUUGCGCUGCCCAUUGAAGCCUGUGUCAUGCUGCUUCUGGAGACAGGCAUGAAGGAGGAGGGCCUUUUCCGAAUUGGGGCUGGGGCCUCCAAGUUAAAGAAGCUGAAAGCUGCUUUGGACUGUUCUACUUCUCACCUGGAUGAGUUCUAUUCAGACCCCCAUGCUGUAGCAGGUGCUUUAAAAUCCUAUUUACGGGAAUUGCCUGAACCUUUGAUGACUUUUAAUCUGUAUGAAGAAUGGACACAAGUUGCAAGUGUGCAGGAUCAAGACAAAAAACUUCAAGACUUGUGGAGAACAUGUCAGAAGUUGCCACCACAAAAUUUUGUUAACUUUAGAUAUUUGAUCAAGUUCCUUGCAAAGCUUGCUCAGACCAGCGAUGUGAAUAAAAUGACUCCCAGCAACAUUGCGAUUGUGUUAGGCCCUAACUUGUUAUGGGCCAGAAAUGAAGGAACACUUGCUGAAAUGGCAGCAGCCACAUCCGUCCAUGUGGUUGCGGUGAUUGAACCCAUCAUUCAGCAUGCCGACUGGUUCUUCCCUGAAGAGGUGGAAUUUAAUGUAUCAGAAGCAUUUGUACCUCUCACCACCCCAAAUUCGAAUCACUCAUUCCACACUGGAAACGACUCUGACUCGGGGACCCUGGAGAGGAAGCGGCCUGCUAGCAUGGCGGUGAUGGAAGGAGACUUGGUGAAGAAGGAAAGCUUUGGUGUGAAGCUUAUGGACUUCCAGGCCCACCGGCGGGGUGGCACUCUAAAUAGAAAGCACAUAUCCCCUGCUUUCCAGCCGCCACUUCCGCCCACAGAUGGCAGCACCGUGGUGCCCGCUGGCCCAGAGCCCCCUCCCCAGAGCUCUAGGGCUGAAAGCAGCUCUGGGGGUGGGACUGUCCCCUCCUCCGCGGGCAUACUGGAGCAGGGGCCGAGCCCAGGCGACGGCAGUCCUCCCAAACCGAAGGACCCUGUAUCUGCAGCUGUGCCAGCACCAGGGAGAAACAACAGUCAGAUAGCAUCUGGCCAAAACCAGCCCCAGGCAGCUGCUGGCUCCCACCAGCUCUCCGUGGGCCAACCUCACAAUGCUGCAGGGCCCAGCCCGCAUACACUGCGCCGAGCUGUUAAAAAACCCGCUCCAGCACCCCCGAAACCAGGCAACCCACCUCCUGGCCACCCCGGGGGCCAGAGUUCUUCAGGAACAUCUCAGCAUCCACCCAGUCUGUCACCAAAGCCACCCACCCGAAGCCCCUCUCCUCCCACCCAGCACACGGGCCAGCCUCCAGGCCAGCCCUCCGCCCCCUCCCAGCUCUCAGCACCCCGGAGGUACUCCAGCAGCCUGUCUCCAAUCCAAGCUCCCAAUCACCCGCCGCCGCAGCCCCCUACACAGGCCACGCCACUGAUGCACACCAAACCCAAUAGCCAGGGCCCUCCCAACCCCAUGGCAUUGCCCAGUGAGCAUGGACUUGAGCAGCCAUCUCACACCCCUCCCCAGACUCCAACGCCCCCCAGUACUCCGCCCCUAGGAAAACAGAACCCAAGUCUGCCAGCUCCUCAGACCCUGGCGGGGGGUAACCCUGAGACUGCACAGCCACAUGCUGGAACCUUACCGAGACCGAGACCAGUACCAAAGCCAAGGAACCGGCCCAGCGUGCCCCCACCCCCACAACCUCCUGGUGUCCACUCAGCUGGGGACAGCAGCCUCACCAACACAGCACCAACAGCUUCCAAGAUAGUAACAGAUGCCCUUCCUAGUGCCCUCACAGGUGGGGAAGGUUUCCAGGACUAAGGUCUGUAAUGGCCCCGAGCAGCUUGCCCCAUAGCUCGCCCCACAGCUCCAAAUGCUCCUGCUUAGCCGUGUUUUUUUUGCAUAUGUGCUUUUGACCGUGUGCUCAGGAGCAGCCGUUUGACCGUGUGCCCUGACAGCCAAUGGGCCAUCCAUUCUGUAGCAUAUUGACAUUUCUUUAUUUUUAUCAGAAGCACUUUGAACUGCAGUGCUUCAAAUUCAAGGAGUAGAUGUCAGUAGAUCAAGAGCCUGAUUUCAAGCUGCUCUUGAAGAGUAUCUUCUUUCUUAGGGGCCAGGCACAGUGGCUCGUGCCUCUAAUCCCAGUACUUUGAGUGGCUGAGGCAAGAGGAUUGCUUGAGCUCAGGAGUUCGAGACUGCAUUGGGUAGUGAUUGUGUCACUGCACACUGCAGUCCAGCCUGCGUGACAGAAUGAGACCCUGUCUCUUAAAAAAAAAAAAAAAAAAAAGGAAUAUCUUCUAUCUUUUUGGUGAGCCUCUUAGCAGCAGUCUACUCUUCCCAGUGUGCUUUACCUGUCACUGAUGGGCUCACCAGCAUCCAACCAAAGAGGACCCAGGUGCAGUCAGCACGGGAGGAAAUUGUGUCCUUUGUGUCUUGAGCUUCAAUUUUAAGUUUUUGUAUCUUAAGUGCAAGUUAACUGCAUGGAGCUUCUUAAUUUGAUAUUUUAAAUUCUCAAUACCCAAAAAUUAAAAAAAGUCUUCCGCCAAAUACCCUACACUGAAUUAUUUUAAAUUCCUUUGCAUUCUAGCAUGCUUACGUUUUGCUUUAUUAAACCAUAUGAGCUUUUUAAAAGGCACUGUGAGCUCAUCUAAGUCUGCCGCUGGGUCUCCAUGUGGACAGCAUAAGGCCCUCAUUAUGUGUACAGCUGCUUUCAUCAGCUGGCCUGAGCCUUACGCCUACUGUGGGCCCCUUAGCCAGAGUGCUCACAGCUUAGGUCUGAGUAAGGCUUUCUGUAGGAACCGUAAGUGGAAAACCAGAGCGUAGCCUUCAAAACAGGGAGGAGGCCCGGGUGCGAUUCCACAAUUUCAUGCUUGUGACACACCAAAAUGUUAUUCUCAGAUAUUUCCUUUUAUUUAAAUGAAAGAUUCCAAACCAGAAUUAUGCCUAUUUUUUAAUACCAUUGUUACCCGGGGUGUAUUUAUUCCACAAGUUUAGUUUACUGAUCUGCUACAACACUGUAAUGUACUGCCUGUAAUUAUUAGAUAAGUGAAAUUUUACAUUAAAAAUGUGUUUCCCAAAGAUACUAGCUAUUUAAAAACCAGUCUAUACUAUGAAUUCUCCUAACUCAAGAAAUUCCAGGUUACCAGAGUUAUCUUUGUAUUACAGAAUUAACCUGUACUAUCUUAAAAUCCCCUGGCCUCCCAUUGAAAGUACACAGAAGGCCAACAUUUAGAAUUUUUUAAUCUGCUAGUAUUGAUCAUACUGCUAUUAACCAUUCUUGGAUGUAGCCAUUGGGUUUUUCAAGGAGGAAAAAAUAUAUAAUUUCCGUGGACAGGAUGGUCCUUUAUUAUGACAUAAUGCUUUCACUUAGAAAACUUUAGAUGGAUAAAUUCCUGAAAACAGGUUAUUCCUUUAGAAUUGGAUUAAGUUAGGGUUUUAAAGAGUUGGGUUAAGGCUAAUGGGCUUAAGAUAAACUCUUGGGGGGAGAUUAUUGCUGCCAAGCAGGUUUGGCAGCCAACUUCUCACAGCUCAGCACCAGCACUGGAGGAUGCCGGCAUUCUGGCAUCAUUUUGAGUCUCCUGUUAAUUGUGACUCUAGAGAGCAGUAAGAGUUUUAAUUCCCAUGUAAAAGAGUUUACAUCUUGCUAUUUUUGAAGUAAUAGAUUUUAGCAAAGAGUAUUCUAAUUUAAACAUUUUAUUAAAUAAUUUAGAUGUAUGACCUGCCAUAUUCAGUAAGAACUGAGAUUGGAAUAUUUAAUGACUCCAAUUCCAGGGUUUCAGAACAGCAUCGCAGCAUCUUUCCUGAAAUGCACUCAGACUCAGCCAGCAAAGACGUGCCUGGCCGCAUCCUGCUGGAUAUAGACAAUGAUACCGAGAGCACUGCCCUGUGAAGAAAGCCCUUUCCCAGCCCUUCACCACUUCCACCCUGGCGAGUGGAGCAGGGGCAGGCGAACCUCUUUCUUUGCAGACCGAACAGUGAAAAGCUUUCAGUGGAGGACAAAGGAGGGCCUCACUGUGCGGGACCUGGCCUUCUGCACGGCCCAAGGAGAACCUGGAGGCCACCACUGAAGCUGAAUGACCUGUGUCUUGAAGAAGUUGGCUUUCUUUACAUGGGAAGGAAAUCAUGCCAAAAAAAUCCAAAACAAAGAAGUACCUGGAGUGGAGAGAGUAUUCCUGCUGAAACGCGCAUAGGAAGCUUUUGUCCCUGCUGUUAAUGCGGGCAGCACCUACAGCAACUUGGAAUGAGUAAGAAGCAGUGCGUUAACUAUCUAUUUAAUAAAAUGCGCUCAUUAUGCAAGUCGCCUACUCUCUGCUACCCGGACGUUCAUUCUUAUGUAUUAGGAGGGAGGCUGCUCUCCUUCAGACUUGCUGCAGAAUCAUUUUGUAUCAUGUAUGGUCUGUGUCUCCCCAGUCCCCUCAGAACCAUGCCCAUGGAUGGUGACUGCUGGCUCUGUCACCUCAUCAAACUGGAUGUGACCCAUGCCGCCUCGUUGGAUUGUCGGAAUGUAGACAGAAAUGUACUGUUCUUUUUUUUUUUUUUUUAAACAAUGUAAUUGCUACUUGAUAAAGACCGAACAUUAUUCUAGUUUCAUGUUUAAUUUGAAUUAAAUAUAUUCUGUGGUUUAUAUGAAAA